GACGAACGCUGGCGGCGUGCUUAACACAUGCAAGUCGAACGGUAAGGCCCUUCGGGGUACACGAGUGGCGAACGGGUGAGUAACACGUGGGUGAUCUGCCCUGCACUUCGGGAUAAGCCUGGGAAACUGGGUCUAAUACCGGAUAGGACCACUGCCUGCAUGGGUGGUGGUGGAAAGCUUUUGCGGUGUGGGAUGGGCCCGCGGCCUAUCAGCUUGUUGGUGGGGUGAUGGCCUACCAAGGCGACGACGGGUAGCCGGCCUGGGAGGGGGACCGGCCACGCGGGGACUGAGGUACGGCCCAGAGUCCUACUGGAGGCAGCAGUGGGGAAUAUUGCACAAUGGGCGCAAGCCUGAUGCAGCGACGCCGCGUGAGGGAUGACGGCCUUCGGGUUGUAAACCUCUUUCAGCACCGACGAAGCGCAAGUGACGGUAGGUGCAGAAGAAGGACCGGCCAACUACGUGCCAGCCGCCGCCGUAA
This 478-nucleotide ribosomal RNA is filed under the name uncultured bacterium. RNAcentral's name for it is "partial 16S ribosomal RNA". It matches the Rfam family "Bacterial small subunit ribosomal RNA", at positions 28 to 523 of the family's 1533-position model. The record is from RNAcentral.